This 452-nucleotide ribosomal RNA is filed under the name uncultured bacterium. RNAcentral describes it as "bacterial SSU rRNA". It matches the Rfam family "Bacterial small subunit ribosomal RNA", at positions 61 to 507 of the family's 1533-position model. The record is from RNAcentral.
GUCAAGCGGUAGAGAGGUGCUUGCAUCUCUUGAGAGCGGCGGACGGGUGAGUAAUGCCUAGGAAUCUGCCUAGUGGUGGGGGAUAACGUUCGGAAACGGACGCUAAUACCGCAUACGUCCUACGGGAGAAAGCGGGGGGAUCUUCGGACCUCGCGCCAUUAGAUGAGCCUAGGUCGGAUUAGCUAGUUGGUGAGGUAAUGGCUCACCAAGGCGACGAUCCGUAACUGGUCUGAGAGGAUGAUCAGUCACACUGGAACUGAGACACGGUCCAGACUCCUACGGGAGGCAGCAGUGGGGAAUAUUGGACAAUGGGCGAAAGCCUGAUCCAGCCAUGCCGCGUGUGUGAAGAAGGUCUUCGGAUUGUAAAGCACUUUAAGUUGGGAGGAAGGGUAGUAACCUAAUACGUUGCUACUUUGACGUUACCGACAGAAUAAGCACCGGCUAACUUCGUG